CCAGGAAGGUAGGUGCAAGGCACACGCUGGGCAGCAGAGGGACUCAAUGUUUCCAGCUGCCACUUUCUUCCCACAAUGAUGGAUCCGCUCCAGGAUCAGGCCUUGCUGAAUGAGACCGUGUCUUCUCAGGAACCAACUGGAGAUCGUUCUGCUUCAGCCUCUUAGGAGGCCUGGGAACCUGGACUUCUUUGACCCUACCAGCAAAGAUGGAGAAGUUGUCCCUGAGAUGUCUGGUCUCAGACAACAGUUUACAACAGAAGCUGUUCAGCUACAGGGGAGUCCCCAGCUCCCUGAAGGCCUGGAACCUUGAAUUUAGUUUCUCCCUAUGAUUAAAUGGAGUCUGCAAACAGAAU
Molecule: long non-coding RNA, 353 nt
Organism: Mastomys coucha (southern multimammate mouse)
Lineage: Eukaryota; Metazoa; Chordata; Mammalia; Rodentia; Muridae
Exons: 3
Source: RefSeq, a predicted model, not a curated record